Molecule: non-coding RNA, 5922 nt
Organism: Delphinapterus leucas (beluga whale)
Lineage: Eukaryota; Metazoa; Chordata; Mammalia; Artiodactyla; Monodontidae
Source: RefSeq, a predicted model, not a curated record
CUAGCCCCUCAGGCCGGCAGGUUGGAAGUCUCCAGGAGCUGGCGGUCAGCGUGUGUAGGAGUGAGUCUGCGAGUUUGCCAAGCUGAUUGGCAGAAAAAACAAGCGUGCACCCUCCAAGCUGCACUAUUACAACUGGGAGACGAGCCUCAACCAGAAGUCCCUGAAGAAAUUCUACAAAAGGUUGUUGAUUAAUCAAAGCUGGAGUUAUUUUACGGAGAUAGCACUGUGCAUGUGCAAGACAGGAACCUGUGUCUCCAGGAUGACCUUGGAACCAAGAAUCUUCAGUCUACAGAACUCAAAGAAUAGAAAUCUUGCCACCAGAGCCCUUUACAAAGUGAGAAGUUCUUCAAUAAGGAAAAGCUGACUUCCAGCAGCAUGAGUAGCUCAUAUGGACUAAUUCAAAACAAACCAAUCAAUCACCAUCCAGGUUUGAAAUUCCACUAACCCCUUAAAUUUCACCCCAGACUCUGGCUUGAGGAGACAGGUUUGAAAACCUUGCCUCCUGUCUCUUUGUCAGUCGACCUCGUGAUAAAGCUCUUUCUUUUCUCAAAAAUCAGUGCCAUAGUACUGGCUUCUAUGCACAUCAGGCAGCGAGCCCUUGCUCAGUAAUGUAGGGAACACCACCAUUUAAGCGAGGGGCAGAGAAAGAGAGGCCUGAGAAGGAGAAUGAUAAGGAGUGGCAGAGAUAGAAAAGACUUAGGUAUCAAGGAAGCCAAGAGAAGAAAGGUUCGAAGAAGAAGGGAAUGGACAGCAGUGUCAAAUGGAACUGAGAAGUCAAGUGAUGGACGGACCAAGUGUCUCCUGGAUUUGACAAAAUAUUCUUUGGUCACGAAAGUGAGAGCGGUUUCAAUGAAAUAGUGGGGUGAAAAUUAAAUAGAAGUGGGUAGUGAGUGGGAAGUAAGUGUAGACAUCUUCAAGAAGUUUAGCUGGGAAGAGGAGGUGAACAAAUACAGUAUCGGGAGGUGUUUGAUUCAGGAAGUUAAGGGAGAACUGUCUUUUGAAGAUAGGAUAAGUUUCUAUGUAUGUUUAAAUGUUGAUAGAAAGAAGGCUAUAGAUAGGGAGAGGCUGAAAAUACAAGAGACAGGAUAAUCGAGUGAAGUGCUUAAGAGGGUAGGAAAAGAUGAGAAAUAAAUGUAAAAGUCAUUAGCCUCAGAAGGAGAAGGUACGUAUUGUCAAUGUUGACAGGUGGGAAAGAAGAAAGAACAGGCAUACGUGGAGUUACAUUUAUAGUGUGGGAAUUAGAGGGGUUUACGGGGGGAUAGUUUCUUUUUUUCUGCAGAAUCAGUGGGGUGGGGGGUUAGGUUUGGCACUUCUUGAAGAUUUGAGGAACAUGGGAAAGUGAAGUAUCCACAGCAUACAUGGGAGAGAGGGUGAUGGCGAGGUAACCAGAGGCUUAGCUGGUCCCCAGGUGAUUCUGUUAUAGGAGUUCUUCAGAUCACACUUCGAGAACUACUGAUAGGAGGGGAUUAUUUUAUUCUGGGAGAGUUUUUUACAAAAUGGGAGAAAAUUGCCCACUGCGAGGGCAGGGGGGACAAUUAACACAAAAAGGUAUCAUUGAUGGGGCAAAAUCGCUAAGGAAAUGGGAGCUGUGAUAAAGAAGAAAGGAGGAAGGAUCAGUCUUGGACAGGAGGUGUGUCACCUCUCCAACUAAGAUCAGCCUUAGGCGGAGAGAGCCUGAAAUCCUCUUUCAUUAAGGGUCACCUCUUUCCAUUAAGAUGGGAAAGGAGGUAAAGAUAAACAUGGAGGCAGGUAACAUUGGUAGUUUCACUUCCAACAAAAUUUUUCCCCAGUGAUAAUCUCCAGCAAGCUUGGAAAAGAGAAACUAUCAAUAACAUUAUAAGUGAUAAUCUCCAGCAAGCUUGGAAAAGAGAAACAAUCAAUAACAUUAUACCUAGCGUUAUGCUAAAUCUUUCUCAUGCAGUGUGUCAUUUAAUCCUUCUAGUAACUUAAGUGGAAGGUCCUAUCACCAUUUCAUAGAGAAAGAAACUGAGGUUAGAGAACAGAAGCUAAGUAACUUGUCCAAGGAUGCCCAGAUCUUAAGGGCAGAGUCUAGGUAGUCUGAAUGUGGACCCAUGUCUGUCUGACAUCUGAGCCUACACUAUGAGCCACAGAUAUUAUACUGCUCAACUCAUUGGGGAAGGGGUAGUAAUUUGUGUGACAUUUUGCAUGGAUGAUACCAUGCAACAUGGUAGCAUGGGAGAUUGAAACUGUUUUUCCUUCAUGACUUCUCACCCGUAAGUCUUUCUUCCUACCAUCACCUCAGUCCUGAUUGAUGGCUUUUUUUUUUUCCUGAAUAUCAUUUAGAACUUUGUUGCAAAUGGCAGAAAACUGACUCAAGCUGGCUUAAUAUGAAAAAAGAAAAAGAAUUAAUUAGCCCAUGUAAUUGAAAACUUCAGAAGGCUUAGCUGGGUAAAAGCUCAGAUAAUAAUGGUUUCUGGUUCUUUUGAAGCCUCCAGCUCCAUCUCUCACUUUUUUGCCUUUUCUGUGAAACUUUAUCUGGUGCCUCCUAGCUCCUCCCUGGGUCACACAAUGGCUAUAGCAGUUCUAUCUCUUUACCACUCAGUAUAUCUAGAAACAAAGAUUUCCCCCCAUAUAAACAAGUCCUGGGCCUCGGUCAUUUGCAAGAUGAGACGUGUUUUUUAAGUUAUAAGAAAUUAUUUCCAACCAUCUCUGGAGUUGAAGGGCAAGUCAAACCCACCCACAUGAGCAAAAAGGGUACAGGUAGUUCUUCAAAGGAGACUCGGAAUUGUUUUUACCAGAAAAGGGUGACUGGAUGAUGAGGGGGAAACAACAGAUGUUUUCAUGCCUCUCUCCCAGCUUUCUUCCCCUCAUUAAUCACCUUCCUAUGUGAUUGUCAGUGACUCAAGCUGAAGUUGCUGACCUUUUGGCAGAAGAAGGUGGGCUUAAUACUCUCUACAAGUCUUACCGGUCACAUCUGUGUCUAUACAUCUUUGUCAUCUCCUUGUUUAAAUGUCUCUAUUGGCUCCACAUUGCCCACGGAAGAAUGAUUUACAAUAUCAGUGUUUAAUGGUCCACCACUCUGGUCUUCCAUGCUGUUUUAAAGUCCUGGAAUACUGGCAUUUCUGUUGGUGUGAUACGAUUAUUUUGGAGUUUAAAAAAUCUGAAUCAUUUAUGUCUUGAUACACAGAGACAUGCUUCAUUAAAAUCUUGAAUCAGAUAUAAGUGCACUUGUUUAGAAAGCCAUCUUCUAUACUUCCAUAAUCCUUAAACAAAAGAAGAAAAUAACAACCACCAAAGCAAAGCUUCUAAUGCAAGAGUAGUUCUUAUCUAUUACAAAGAUUUCCACCAAAUGGAAUAGGAACAGAACGCUAUUGGUAUUAAUAUGGUGUCCACAUUAGAAUCUCCAUUUAUGUAAGAUGAGACAGGAAGAUGAAGACAAGUGAGAAAUACUUCCUUUGAAGCAAACAAACAAAAACAGCUUGUUACAAACAAAUAUUGUCCCUGCAAAGAAAGAAAAUAUUGCCUCCCCCCAAAAAAAUCUCCUCAAACUUAUUAACGAAGAGAUAGGGUUGUUUGAAGAUAAGGGACUAGAGAAAAUACUGAUGUUUAAGAACGUCUUAUAACUAUCUCCUUAUCAUUCCCUUAACCAGCAUACAUUCAGAAUUUUUUAGCAACUGGAGAGUUUUUCACAGCUUGAUGAUAUCGUUGAUAGACUAAUAUCACUUUAAAAACAAUUGUAAUUUUACUUCAUUUUAAACCCUAAUUAAACUAUUUUAUGUAGAAUUUCCUUUAAGCAAUAUUUUAUUUUUAUAUUAAAGUGAUAUGGUUAAUAUAUUUCAGUAUAUUUGCAUUUAUGCUUAUGAAUUUUUAUAUUUGAAAUGUAAUAAAUACUUAGUUUUACUGAUCUCGGGUACUUAAUAUGUGAAAUAAGUACCAAAACCUCCUGAAAUUCUAUCCAGUAUUUAAAUGACUGUUUAGCUUGGCGCUGGAGGUCCUUCCUGUCAGCCCCUUGUCUACAGUCCCAGCCGCCCUCCUGCAUCCCCAUCCCGGGGAUGGAUAUGUUUAUCUGUGUUUCCUUUUCCAAGUAGAGCUUGGAUCCAGUCACCUCUAUUCCUUUGCUGGAGGCCCCUUCUUCAAUUUUUACCUGUAAAGGUCACAUGGGACGAGCACAACUGGUAGAAUGGAAUCUUAAAGCAAAUUCAUUUUUGUCUCCCACUAUCUUUUUAAGUCUGCACCAAGGGGCUAUUUCUCUCUUACAUUUAGAAAAGACAAAGGUUGUCCCUCAGAGGUAAUAACAGUGCUGUCACUUUUUAGGGCACAAAAUGUCAACCAGGCAUUUAAAUGGGAGUCCGAGAUGAGAAUUGUUGUAACUUCAACUUACAGUUGAAGUUUGUCCUCUCCUCCAGCUUCAGCUGGCUGCAGGCUAGAAGUCUGAAAUUUGAAGAUCGGGGGAGAGGGGCUCUUGGCUUCUCUCUUUCCUCCUCUCAUGCUCCUUCUUCUCUUCUCCCAUCUUACAAACUUGUUUUUGGCCCUUUCAGGGUCUGGAGCCUGGGGAGGGGAAUUCGUGGAUUCAUAGAAUUCUUGGUUGAUUGAUGCUGUGGAAGUGAUCUAGCUGGUGCUCUCUGGACCUUGAAGAUCUUUGAAGCCAAUUUCCCUCUUGAGGGACUUUCAUGGGUUCCUCAGAGACCUUCCCUUUCCCCACUUCUGCAGCAUCUACACGUCCAGCAGCAGUUCAUUUCCAGCUUUCACCCCCGCAGGAGGCCAUUUCGACCAGGGGCUAAGCAUAACCAUGUCAAUUCCCUUUCCCUCGGGGAUCUCAUUUGGUCCAUAGGAGACACCAUUCACCCAAACAGACUCUGGGAGUGUAGCUACUUCCCCACACCUCAGCCCUCGACAUUUUGAUUUCUCCAGUGUGAUCCAGUCAGCAGACCUGUGUCCCUCAAACUGUAGGAGACACACAUUAAGCUCCGCAGAUGGUUCCCUCAAAGUCCUGUCCUUUGGUUUGAGAUAAGGAGCGGAUAUCCCUUCUCCUCCUCAUUCACCCUUAGUGAGGAGGGUAGAAUUCUUCAUACACAGUAGUUCUUUCCAAAGAAAUCCAUUUCAAAAAGCUUCCUAUCAGCAUCCCUUUAUGCCGUCAAUGUGGGUGACCAUUUGAGAGUUACAUGCCUCUCCCUUCUCCCCUUUUUACCAUCUAUGUUUUGGUCCAACACAUAGCUCUGGAAUGUGCCUCAACUGAAGCUUUUAUUUUAACAUCUUGCUACAUCCCUAAAGAUCACUUUCAUGCCUCUACCUCCACAAAAUCUUACUGAUCAGCCCCAAGGUAGUAAUUUUCUACUUUGCCAAACUCUUAGGUGUGGAUCAUUAUGCCAUUCACAUGGUACUUAUUUUCUGCCUUGUAUUGUACUUACUUAAGUACAAUUAUUUCCACCAAAAAUUUGUAAGUUCCUCUAAGGUAGACACUAUGCAUCUUUGUUUUUAUAUCACUAAAGUCUUACACACAGUAUGUAAAUAAUAUUUGUUAUAUCCAAGAAAUAGAUUGCUCAAUAUUGCUGUGUAUGGUAAAGUCUUGGAAAGUAGAUAAUCUUUCCAAUUCAACCUCUAUCUACCGUCCUGAGUUUUAAGCACUGUGGCCAGUUGAGGAUACAGGCACAGACAAGACAAAGUCCUGUCUAGAAGCACUCAGAAUCAGCAGAAGAGAUGGUACAUUACAAAAAGUUACAUAAGUCUACAAUAAAGGUGUGAUCUAAAGGUUGUGCAUAGGAGGGAGUGGUUAACUAACCAGGAUGCUCAGGGAAGUCUUCAUGAAGUUGGAACUACUUGAAUUUUUUUAAAAAUUGAGCUAUAAUUUACUUAUCAUGAAGUUCAUGCUUUUAAAGUAUACAAUUCAGUGAUUUCUAGUAUGUUCACAAGGUUGUGCAACCAUCACCACCUUGUAAUUCCAAAACAUUCAUCACCCUCAAA